GCUCCCAUAGGCUAAUUGAAAGACCGCCUCGCUACGAACGAGACAGUGUGGGUUUGAGCCCCGCCGGGAGUACCA
This 75-nucleotide transfer RNA is filed under the name Clostridiales bacterium. Its description in RNAcentral is "tRNA-Arg". It matches the Rfam family "tRNA". From Rfam's summary of the family: Transfer RNA (tRNA) molecules are approximately 80 nucleotides in length. Their secondary structure includes four short double-helical elements and three loops (D, anti-codon, and T loops). Lineage: Bacteria; Bacillati; Bacillota; Clostridia; Eubacteriales. The record is from RNAcentral.